CUGAAUUAGAUAUCCUUCCAACGAGACUGUCUUGCUUCCAAGUGCCAAAAUACCUGCAGAGGGUUAUCUCUAAUGCUUCAGCUUGUCUCGGUUACAAGGACAGAGUGUGAAAAGAGAGGCAGAUUCAAAAGAUGCAAAGAAGAGACUGAAACAAGGAACCUGUUCUGAUUAUGGAAACAGUGCAUAAAAUCUAUCUAACACAUGAUAAUAUGUUCUAGUGCCCACAAUGCUGCUGAACUGAAACUUGAAAAUUAGCUUUACAAGAUGCUCAGUGUAAUUUAACCUGGAAACAAAAAAGCAUGGAGAACUAUAGUGAGGGACUCGGACAGAAAAGGGCACAAGCUCUGUGCCAGCUAAAGAUAGAAAAAGUGCUUUUGGCUGCUGUCUGGACAUCCACAAGCAGCUCUGCCCAGCCAGAACAUCCUAGGAGCAGCAAUCAGCACCCAGUCCGUCCUUGUCUGGAGCUGUGAGUAGACUCUCAAGAAGAAAUGGAGAAACCCAAUCUACAUUUAAAGGAUGAUGAGAAGCAGCAGCAUGAAACGCUGAGGAGAGGUGGCAGCUCAAAGGCUGGACAAUAUCACCGCAUGGGUUUGGCAAAGUCAGAGAGGAGGUGCCACAGGACACAUCUCGAAGGCUAUGAGGACUCUGGUAGCUCACCUUAUUCCAUCUUAGCUCCGACUGGCAACCAGGGAGAGCAUAGUCAUGUCUACAUUUCACUCUAAGCUCUACUACAAACAAAUAAAACAAUGCCUUUUUUGAAGCUUGCUGUGCCU
Molecule: long non-coding RNA, 773 nt
Filed under: Apteryx rowi (Okarito brown kiwi)
Lineage: Eukaryota; Metazoa; Chordata; Aves; Apterygiformes; Apterygidae
Description: lncRNA (ENSARWG00000018737.1)
Source: RNAcentral